RNAcentral lists this ribosomal RNA (253 nucleotides) under uncultured bacterium. RNAcentral's name for it is "partial 16S ribosomal RNA". It matches the Rfam family "Bacterial small subunit ribosomal RNA", at positions 524 to 776 of the family's 1533-position model. The record is from RNAcentral.
UACAGAGGUCCCAAGCGUUGUUCGGAUUCACUGGGCGUAAAGGGUGCGUAGGUGAUCGGGUAAGUCUGAUGUGAAAUCUCCGAGCUUAACUCGGAAAUGGCAUUGGAUACUAUUCGGCUAGAGGGUUUGAGGGGGGACUGGAAUACUUGGUGUAGCAGUGAAAUGCGUAGAUAUCAAGUGGAACACCAGUGGCGAAGGCGAGUCCCUGGAAAACUCCUGACACUGAGGCACGAAAGCUAGGGGAGCAAACAGG